Molecule: transfer RNA, 72 nt
Filed under: Trichonephila clavata
Lineage: Eukaryota; Metazoa; Arthropoda; Arachnida; Araneae; Nephilidae
Description: tRNA-Met
Source: RNAcentral
GCCUCCGUGCGCAGUCGGCUAGCGCGUUUUGAUCAUAACUGAAAGGUUGGUGGUUCCAGCCCACCGGGGGCG